GGAUUAGAUACCCUGGUAGUCCACGCUGUAAACGAUGAACACUAGACGCUGGGAGGGACUACCUUUCGGUGUCGCAGCUAACGCGUUAAGUGUUCCGCCUGGGGAGUACGGCCGCAAGGUUGAAACUCAAAGGAAUUGACGGGGGCCCGCACAAGCGGUGGAGCAUGUGGUUUAAUUCGAUGCAACGCGCAGAACCUUACCUGCCUUUGACAGCCGGGGAACUUGACCGAGAGGUUGAGGUGCCGCAAGGAACCCCGAGACAGGUGCUGCAUGGCUGUCGUCAGCUCGUGCCG
Molecule: ribosomal RNA, 293 nt
Filed under: uncultured bacterium
Lineage: Bacteria
Description: partial 16S ribosomal RNA
Rfam family: Bacterial small subunit ribosomal RNA
Source: RNAcentral